Molecule: ribosomal RNA, 439 nt
Filed under: uncultured bacterium
Lineage: Bacteria
Description: partial 16S ribosomal RNA
Rfam family: Bacterial small subunit ribosomal RNA
Source: RNAcentral
CUACGGGGGGCACCAGUGAGGAAUAUUGCACAAUGGGGGGAACCCUGAUGCAGCAACGCCGCGUGGAGGAUGACGCAUUUCGGUGUGUAAACUCCUUUUAUAUGUCAAGAAAAUGACGGUAGCAUAUGAAUAAGCACCGGCUAACUCCGUGCCAGCAGCCGCGGUAAUACGGAGGGUGCAAGCGUUACUCGGAAUCACUGGGCGUAAAGGACGCGUAGGCGGGUUGGAAAGUCAGGUGUGAAAUCCUACAGCUUAACUGUAGAACUGCACUUGAAACUGCUAAUCUAGAGUCUGGGAGGGGGGGAUGGAAUUAGUGGUGUAGGGGUAAAAUCCGUAGAUAUCACUAGGAAUACCUAAAGCGAAGGCGAUCUCCUGGAACAUUACUGACGCUAAGGCGCGAAAGCGUGGGGAGCAAACAGGAUUAGAUACCCCUGUAGUC